UAUGGGUUAUCACUUUGUGUCUUUAAUUAUAGAUGGUAAUAUUUUACUGUGAGUUAUUUGGAAUUUAAAAUGGGCAGUAUGGCCAUUGUAAAAUCGUUUGUUAUCCCAUUUCACAUAAUCUCCACCAAAUUUAUUAUGUGUCCUAUCUUGCUUUUGUGAAAUCUUUGCAUUUUAUUUCCUAAAAUUAUAAAUAAUUAAUAGAUUGUCUCCAUUGUCCACUGUGAAGCUAGCCCUGAGGGACAUAUAGGAGAGAUUAUAUUUAAGUUAUUGAUAUUAUUUUGCUUUGAGGUGCCUAGCUCCCUAGAUGUGCUCCAUGGGAGACCUCCCCAUAGAGUAUAUAGCUUUACAGCUGAAUACAAAGACAUAUUUUGUGGCUUAUGGAUAAAGUGUCUGGACAGUGGAAAGAGAAUAGGAAGGAGAGCUGUUUAUUUCCGCUGAAUCUUAAAUAUUUAUUGAAGGACCCCGCACAAAGGUUUCUGUUAUUCUGUGUCACAAACUUUUCUUAAGGGCACUUCACCUUAAAUACCCCAUUGCGUCUUGACUGUUGUGACCUGGAAAUGAUGGGGGAUACAUGGAUGAUACAGAGAUAUGGGAAACGAGUCUUAUCGUUCAGGACUACCAUCCUAAGGAAAUGAGGAUGUCUAAAGUAAGUUCUAUUUUGAAUUUGACCUGGAAACUAGUUAGGCUAAGAAUUUGACAGUUUACGACCUCAAAAAGUCUCCAUGGCAGAAACAGAUUUAUUUAAAACAGAAAAUUUAUUCAUACUUGGACAUCAAUUUACUUUUAGUCUGAUUGAAGUUAACACCCAGCCAAACUUUACUACACUUAUUCUUGAAGCUGACAGAGUUCAGACUCAAGCCAAGGAGUAUCACAUCUUACCAAAUACAGUCUAAAGGUUGUUUUCUGAUUGACAGUGCCGUGAGGAGGUCUGAUUGUGUCCUGAUGUUUUUUCUGAAUGGUCCCUAGAAACCAGGUUAAUGUAGAGAUCAACCCAAAGAAAAUCUAAGAAUUUUUCAGAGGUAUCUCCAGAUUUGAACAACAGUGGCGCUCAACGUCCUCACGUUGUCCUCAGUGUGCUGGAUAAUGCUCCAGAUGUAAUCUGAAGCCAGGGGUAGCCUGGAACUUGACCAGAGUCUCCCAAGGGUGCGGGGAGCAGUAGGAUGUACAACAAUGCAGGUGCCUUGGCUACUGAUUCUGCCCAGUGGAAUGUGCAUGAGAUUCUUUUUGACCCGUUGGAGGGAAAAGGAGGAAUAGAGUUGAAUAUGGAAUUUAUUAAUACAUGUCUGAAUCUGAGAGAAGGUAAUGGAAAGUGCGGAAGAGAAUACUAGGAGAGAUUUGGAAUGAAAUAGGAGGAAUAAUACUUUGAUUAGUUGCCACCUUUUUGUGUUGUUGUUCAAAUGCUUGGUAUUAGUUUGGAAAGGAGAGAUUCUUGAAACUUACCUGAGAAAGAAGUUAAAUAGAGGUGAAAGUUCCGAAUCAAGGAGUUUUUCUGGAGGAAUGUCAAAAUUUGGAUUGGUAAUUCUAUGA
This is a non-coding RNA of Equus caballus (horse), 1527 nucleotides long. NCBI's taxonomy places the organism in Eukaryota, Metazoa, Chordata, Mammalia, Perissodactyla, Equidae. The record is from RefSeq and is a predicted model, not a curated record.